This is a small nuclear RNA of Ochotona curzoniae (black-lipped pika), 104 nucleotides long. NCBI's taxonomy places the organism in Eukaryota, Metazoa, Chordata, Mammalia, Lagomorpha, Ochotonidae. The record is from RefSeq and is a predicted model, not a curated record.
UCGCUUCAGCGGCGUAUAUACUAAAAUUGGGACAAUACAAAGAAGAUUAGCAUGGCCCCUGCGCAACGAUGACCCGCGUUCCAUAUUUUUUAAAAAAAAGUUUU